AGUCAGGGAUGUAUGGGUGUGUGUGCAUAGCAAGAUAGAUAGAUCUAUGUAUGACAUACCAAUUAUUUCCUUGGAACUUUAAUUGCACUGUCUGCCAUGUAAUCAUAUUUACAGGCCAUCAACAUUUUCCAAGAUGGUUACUUAAAGUUAGCUUUCUAAUUUUCUGGCAAUGUUGCUAAAUGAAAAAGAUCAGAGCUUUUAAAAUGACCAUUUUAACUGCUGCCUGCUCAGCCUUUCAAGGAAGAAAACAGCUUCUACAAGCAGACAACGAUGAGCAUUAUAUUUAGGAAUACGGAUUUUAAAAUCUGGGCUUUUUCUAUUGUGAAGAAUAAUAUCUGGCUUUUAGAUAGUUGAUCGCAGACGUUCUCAUCUGAUACAACUGUAACCUGUAAAGAGAGGAUCCACUGAAGUAGUAAAUGAGCUUCUUCUCUCCCAAGCUGUCUCUUGCACAAGAAAGAGAUGGGGCAACCUGGAAGAUUAUAGAAUAACAAAGUCUGAUGGGUAUUUGAGAGACAGAGGAAAGAAUAAACGGACUCGAAUGUCAGGUUCUGUAAAAAAAAGCACCUGGAACAAAUGUAUUUUUCUGUUACUGUAUGCUGAAUUAGUUGCUUGGAAUUUAAUAGUGGCUUUUCCUGAUGAACAAGUUUGAAAUGAGCUUAAUCACAACCAAGUGAUACUUCGCUAAUUUUAAGAAGGCAGAUAAUUAUUGGUCAUUACCAUGGGCAUUUGAAGGGGUGGGGUUUGGGAGGCUGGAUUUUCUUUUUUUCUUUUUUUCUUUCUUUCUUUUUUUUUUUUUUCUUUCUUUCUUUCUUUCUUUCUUUUUUUUUUUUUUCCAGUUUAGAAAAGAAAAAGUUUGUGAGCCAGAUGUUACUUCUCCAAUUACAACAGCCUUCUUGGGCUGCAUGUACAAAGCAGGAAUAGGCCUUUUGCAGUACCAGGAGUUAUAUCUAACAUACAGCAUUACUGUUAUUAUCGUUUAUACAGUAGUCCUCCAGCUCAGUCUGAGGCAUGCCAUGGUUUUACACUACCAUGCUUAAUGUCUGCAGGAGUGACUGUGUGAGGGCUCUCAAAGAAAGUUCUCUCUGUCUCAGAGAAAACCCUGCUUUAAGCUGCAACAGCGGGGAGACGCUUACACUAUGAUAUCAUGAUAUAGUCCAGCACCUGAAAUUUCUGCUAGCUUGGACUGCAGUUGCUGAAUAGAAUUCUUCACUGAGUACUACAAUAGGUUACUUACAGUAAAGUUACUGCUUGGGUCAGUGAAGAUGGGGUUACUUUACUGUGACUCAACAUAAAUGUUACAGAGCUGUCUAAUGUUAAAAAGUUACAGUUUGGAAGAAUGAAAAACAUGAACAAGGGAGGAAAAAAGUCCAAAGGAGCAUUUACAAACAAGCCAGACUACUUCUGUUUAUUCAUUACUCCUCCAUCAUUGCACCUACAAAAUGCCUAUGAGGAGAAAAAUAUUCUGGAUCCAAACACGCUAAUAUUCAUAUAAGGAACCACUGUUCCAAGCACUUAACAGCCAUAAAUUGAACUGCCUUAGUAUAUGAUCUCUGAUUACCUUUUAAACCACAGCCACACUUUCAAAAGUUACACAACAGCUAGCAUCUGCUUGUGAACAGUGUUUGCAAGGAGCUCAGCAUUUGUGAAGAUGCUUACACUAGAGUUACACUGUCCUGAAAAAUUCAAUAAUUAACAUGGGUACUUGAUGGUGGUUGUGAAAAUGCAGCUGGUGCUGCUUCAGAAAGUCUGUGUGUAGUGAUGUGACAAUAGGUAGCUUUUAAAUUCAGAAACAGCUUUCCCAGGCCAAACGUUUUUAUGAACACUCCUUUUAUCUUGUCAGUGCUUGUUAGCAUGCUACACUGUUUAUGAAGCACAAGAUAACAUCAACCCUACAAAUAUAUUUUGUUUGUAGGAGUGGUUUAUUUUUCAUGAAUACAUUUGCAUAUACAACCUGGCUAAAAAAGCAAGCUGUGUACAACUGACUAAACGAAACUGUUAAAGUAGCAGUGUUAUUCCAUAAUGCAGAGAAGGAAACUGCCUCAGUUCUGAGGAUCAUAAGUUGUUUUUUUUAAAUAAGAGAUAUCCUUAAGUGGGAAAGAAUCACCUAGACUUUAAAAAUAUAGGCCUGACUUUAUUAAUACAUAUUGCAGCUGAACAGAAAAAAAUAUAGAAAAUAGAAGUGGUAGAGUUCUUGCCACCUCUGAAUAAAAGACGUAGAAUUAGGAGCCUACAUAAGUUAAUUUUAGGGGAAAAAAGAUUUUGUUUAAAUUUUUGCAGAUAAAUGUUGAUCUCCUUGAAGAUGUUGGAAGUCAUUAGAUGUAACUGUUUAACUCAUAAAAAUUAUUACAUGUUUCUUGUUAAAAUGUUGAUGUUACUGGUAAUCUGAAGUUCACAUUCAUCCAUAGAGUCAAAUUUGUCCUAGCAAGGAAAAAGAGUUUAUCUCUAGGAAAUAAUGUCAAUUUUUACUGUUUUCUUUGUUAUGAACUAGCUUAAUUGUGCUCCAGAGCAUGGGAAUCCCAGGGAAAUUCCUGAUAAAUAAAUGUUAUCUUUGUCUUAA
This 2557-nucleotide long non-coding RNA is filed under the name Gallus gallus (chicken). RNAcentral's name for it is "lncRNA (ENSGALG00010025704.1)". The record is from RNAcentral. Lineage: Eukaryota; Metazoa; Chordata; Aves; Galliformes; Phasianidae.